CUACGGGGGGCAGCAGCUAAGAAUCUUCCGCAAUGGACGAAAGUCUGACGGAGCGACGCCGCGUGAACGAUGAAGGCCGUGAGGUUGUAAAGUUCUUUUCCGAGGGGAGAAUAAGGAUGGCAGGGAAUGGCCGUCUGAUGACGUGAACUCGGGAAUAAGCCCCGGCUAAGUACGUGCCAGCAGCCGCGGUAACACGUAGGGGGCGAGCGUUGUUCGGAAUCAUUGGGCGUAAAGGGUGCGCAGGCGGUUAUGCAAGUCUGGUGUGAAAGGUCUCGGCUCAACCGAGGAAACGCGCUGGAAACUGUGUAACUAGAGUACAGGAGGGGGAGUUGGAAUUCCAGGUGUAGGGGUGAAAUCUGUAGAUAUCUGGAAGAACACCGGUGGCGAAGGCGAACUUCUGGCCAUGUACUGACGCUGAGGCACGAAGGCGUGGGGAGCAAACAGGAUUAGAUACCCUAGUAGUC
RNAcentral lists this ribosomal RNA (464 nucleotides) under uncultured bacterium. RNAcentral describes it as "partial 16S ribosomal RNA". It matches the Rfam family "Bacterial small subunit ribosomal RNA", at positions 339 to 795 of the family's 1533-position model. The record is from RNAcentral.